Molecule: non-coding RNA, 481 nt
Organism: Pelobates cultripes (western spadefoot toad)
Lineage: Eukaryota; Metazoa; Chordata; Amphibia; Anura; Pelobatidae
Source: the annotation of a GenBank genome assembly
GGAGAUUCUUGGCUGAUAUCAGCAUAUCUAAUUGCUAGUGUAGGACUCACCUAUUGAGGCUUGCCUUGACGUGGCAGGUGAGCUGAUAUAUUCAAAUGGCCAUUGGACUAAAACUAAAGAGCCUCCAUUUUGUUUAAAUGUACAUGGGUAUUUAGGCCAGAGCGCAGGUAAUGUUCUCUUUGUUUUUACUAUGUAUUUUAAGCUGUUGUAUACUAAGCUGUUGCUGCUGUAAGCGCGGUGCUUUAUCUUUGUUCUUGUAUGUAUAGCCUCAGCAUUUUCAAUGUCUCCGAUCUCGCCUACAUUCAGCGUCUCCAAGCUCUGCAUGGAGGCGCUAAACAUUCCCCCAUAGAGAUGCAUUGAUUUAAUGCAUCUCUAUGAGAAGAUGCUGAUUGGUAAUUGAUAAUCUCAGCUAUGGAGGUGGGCCAGCUGCAGCAAGCUUUUUUUGGGGGGGUGGGGGGGCAAGUAAAAUACCCAUGUGAUC